CCUACGGGAGGCAGCAGUGGGGAAUUUUGGACAAUGGGCGCAAGCCUGAUCCAGCUAUUCCGCGUGUGGGAAGACGGCCUUCGGGUUGUAAACCACUUUUGUAGAGAACGAAAAGUCUGUUGAUAAUACCGAUAGAUGAUGACGGUACUCUAAGAAUAAACACCGGCUAACUACGUGCCAGCAGCCGCGGUAAUACGUAGGGUGCGAGCGUUAAUGGGAAUUACUGGGCGUAAAGGGUGUGCAGGCGGUUUUGCAAGAUGGGUGUGAAAGCCCCGGGCUUAACCUGUGAAAGCCAUACAUGACUGCAAGACUAGAGUGCGUCAGAGGGGGGUGGAAUUCUAAGUGUAGCAGUGAAAUGCGUAGAUAUUUGGAAGAACACUGAUGGCGAAGGCAGCCCCCUGGGACGCAACUGACGCUCAUACACGAAAGCGUGGGGAGCAAACAGGAUUAGAUACCCGAGUAGUC
Molecule: ribosomal RNA, 465 nt
Filed under: uncultured bacterium
Lineage: Bacteria
Description: partial 16S ribosomal RNA
Rfam family: Bacterial small subunit ribosomal RNA
Source: RNAcentral